AUUAAAUACCAUCUCCGAGCCGGUGUUACCUAAGGGCUGCCAGCCUAUGGGACACCGGCCUGGGUCGCAUUACCCACGGGGUAGGCCGGGAAACGGGCCUGCCUCCCCCUUGCUCGGAAAGGAGAUGCAGCGUGGCAGGG
This 140-nucleotide non-coding RNA is filed under the name Neomoorella glycerini. Its description in RNAcentral is "Moorella glycerini MoCo sequence". It matches the Rfam family "Molybdenum/Tungsten riboswitch aptamer (Moco RNA motif)". The record is from RNAcentral. Lineage: Bacteria; Bacillati; Bacillota; Clostridia; Neomoorellales; Neomoorellaceae.